This 118-nucleotide ribosomal RNA is filed under the name Limosilactobacillus reuteri. RNAcentral describes it as "Lactobacillus reuteri partial 23S ribosomal RNA". It matches the Rfam family "Bacterial large subunit ribosomal RNA", at positions 2811 to 2925 of the family's 2925-position model. Lineage: Bacteria; Bacillati; Bacillota; Bacilli; Lactobacillales; Lactobacillaceae. The record is from RNAcentral.
UUCCCAUGGCCGUCGGGAAAGUAAGAACCCUCAGGGAUGAUGAGGUAGAUAGGAUGGAAGUGGAAGUGCCGUGAGGCAUGGAGCGGACCAUUACUAAUCGGUCGAGGACUUAACCAAG